RNAcentral lists this ribosomal RNA (289 nucleotides) under uncultured bacterium. Its description in RNAcentral is "partial 16S ribosomal RNA". It matches the Rfam family "Bacterial small subunit ribosomal RNA", at positions 28 to 314 of the family's 1533-position model. The record is from RNAcentral.
GAUGAACGCUAGCGGCAGGCCUAAUACAUGCAAGUCGAACGGCAGCGGGUGUAGCGAUACAUGCCGGCGAGUGGCGCACGGGUGCGUAACACGUAUGCAACCUUCCUUCAAAUGGAGGAUAGCCCCUCGAAAGAGGGAUUAAUACUCCGUAGUAUUAUAGAUAGGCAUCUAUUUAUAAUUAAAGCUCCGGCGGUUGAAGAUGGGCAUGCGUUGCAUUAGCUAGUUGGUGAGGUAAUGGCUCACCAAGGCGACGAUGCAUAGGGGAUCUGAGAGGACUAACCCCCACACU